UACGGAGGGUGCAAGCGUUAUCCGGAUUCACUGGGUUUAAAGGGUGCGUAGGUGGGUAUGUAAGUCAGUGGUGAAAUCCCCGAGCUUAACUUGGGAACUGCCGUUGAUACUAUAUAUCUUGAAUAUCGCAUAGGUAAGCGGAAUAUGUCAUGUAGCGGUGAAAUGCUUAGAUAUGACAUAGAACACCAAUUGCGAAGGCAGCUUACUUCACGAUUAUUGACACUGAGGCACGAAAGCGUGGGGAGCAAACAGG
This 253-nucleotide ribosomal RNA is filed under the name uncultured bacterium. Its description in RNAcentral is "partial 16S ribosomal RNA". It matches the Rfam family "Bacterial small subunit ribosomal RNA", at positions 524 to 776 of the family's 1533-position model. The record is from RNAcentral.